CUGGGCUGUCCGGUCGAACCAGGGGUGUAUUCAUUACGCCAAUUCUUUUGCAAAACGUUCGUCUGUUGCGAAACUGUUUAAGGCCUACUCCAAACGGAAAACAUUUUGCAACGAAAACGAGUUUCUAUUGGACAAAUUUAGACGAGACUUGCUCCUCCAGCUGGCUAUUUCAGUGAGAUGCAGCACAUCAAGAGAAAUAAAAGCCCAGUUUAGUUUAUAGCCUGUAGCAGGGGUGUGAAACAUGUGUCAGGGGAUCCUGGUUUAUGAGCCAAUGGAUUAUGAGGAGUCGAGAAGAGGUGGUGAGGAGUGUGCAAUUGAGAUUAUCCCUGGGUAGAAAUUAUAAAUGGACCAACAUUCAUCAGCUCGCUAAUAAAUCACAGAAAUGAAAGCUCAACAGUCAGGGAACCAAAACGUUUUGAUGGGGAGGAAAUAUAACCAAGCCAGACCUCGUCCGAGACCGAUUGCAGCUUCCAGGGCAAAACGAGUUAGACACCCCUGGCCCUUUAGACACCCCUGGCCUUUAGCUACAGAUCCAAUAAAAUCACCAGUUCAUUGUAAAUGCAUUUGUAUUCUUUAUUAUGCUGUUCCACCAUCAUUCCUUCCUUGUACAGUAUAAAGCUUUAGCCAUACAAAAACGACCACUGCCUACUGAUAAAACCUGUGAGUAUUUCAUGGAAAUACUAGCGGUAUGAGGACAAAAUGAAAUGCAUCUUUUCUUAAAUAAAAUGGAAAUAUGAAACCUAAAAUUAAAAAAUAAAAUAAAAAUAAACUUCUGGCAAAAACACAAUUCCUGCAUUAUGGCCUGUGUUGUUGAAAUCUGAAUGACAUGACUAGGUUUAUGGCUACCAAUGUCCACAAAAAAUUAUGAAUUUAAAAGAUAAUACAAU
Oncorhynchus keta (chum salmon) is the source of this 887-nucleotide long non-coding RNA. RefSeq lists it as uncharacterized. NCBI's taxonomy places the organism in Eukaryota, Metazoa, Chordata, Actinopteri, Salmoniformes, Salmonidae. The transcript is spliced from 2 exons. The record is from RefSeq and is a predicted model, not a curated record.